This 354-nucleotide long non-coding RNA is filed under the name Oryza sativa aus subgroup. Its description in RNAcentral is "lncRNA OsN22_10G009180". The record is from RNAcentral. Lineage: Eukaryota; Viridiplantae; Streptophyta; Magnoliopsida; Poales; Poaceae.
AAGUUCUGCUCAUUCUCUGUUUUAAACCAAAAUAGAAAUCAAUUUUCGAAAUUGAAUUCCAGCCGGGUCCACAGGGUGCUCACCAAGCAGAGAAACGGAGGCAGCGAGGUCCAGGGAGCGGCGGAGGUGGUGGUUGUUGGCCAACGGCGGCAAAACUCCAGCGUCGACGUCGCCGGGUCGACUCAAGGCACGAACUACAACUUCGAGAGUACGGUGGUGUUAGAGAUGAGCCACAGAGGGUGCAUGCACGAGGAAUCCGACGGAAACUCACCGGAGCUUGGUGUUGCUUCGGUGGUGAGGAACGGCGGCCGGAGCGGCGUUGGCGGUUCGGGUGGCCGGCGGCGAGGACAGUGA